Molecule: long non-coding RNA, 309 nt
Filed under: Mytilus galloprovincialis (Mediterranean mussel)
Lineage: Eukaryota; Metazoa; Mollusca; Bivalvia; Mytilida; Mytilidae
Source: RNAcentral
AGAAAAUGCAACGGUUCAAUGACAUAUCAUUUUUUUGUCUGAUAUAAAUACAGAUGUGUUACUAACAGAAAGCAGAAACAAUGAACUACUGCUUAAACACACUGUUACUCAUAUGCUCUUAGCAAAAAAAAAAAGAAGAAAAAUGCCAAAUAUAAAGAGAAAAUUUCAAAAUAUUUAUUUUCGUGAUCAGCACAAACAUUUUUGCAAAUAACUAAUUUUUCAGGAUGUAAGCCUCAAAUAUCACGUACUAACGCAAAAUAAGUCAGAAGCAUUCACGUAUAAUUUUCGAUUUUAUCGACUUUUACGGAC